CACGCUCACGGCGGCAGGAGGUUUGGGGGCCGGGGCCCGAGGCGGCGGCUCGGGCCGGCCCAGGGUUGCCGGUGCAGUGCGGAGCCCUCUCGUGUCUCUUCCCGGCGUGCGGGCGCUUGCAGCGAGCCUCAGCGCCUCUCUCCGUGUUAGCCGGAGCGGGCUGGAACAAUGCUCAGCUUUCUCCAUCGGAGUAAUACGAUUCAUUUAGCGGAAUCACUUACGAUUUACACCAGGUCACCUUGGGGUUCAGAUGCCUUGCAGCAAAAGAAUCAAGAGGGCAGAGUGUUAUUGGCAUGUGUCCUGUUCUGAUCUUACUGAGAAGGAAAGAACAUGUUUUGGAAUCAUAUGGCAAUGCUCUGGCAGAAAUACAGAUGUGGUGGUUCAUAACAUCUACUAAGUCCUGAUGUGAAUAAUUCUCUCUAGUGGCAAAUGACAUGGUGAAUCUAUUUAAUUUCAACUCACAGAGCUAGGUAUUCCUGAAAUGAGGCUUCCUAGCUGUUCAUCAGGAGGAUUCUUUGCCUCUAAGGGUUGCACUGGACGUUCAACCUCAGUCGUGUUCAGAUCACCUUUGCCAUCGUAAUUGUCAGUGAUGGAACCUUUUGUAAUGUCAGCAGCAAGCACAGCUGUAAUAAGACAGUAUGGAGACAAGGAAACAAAGUAUUAAGAGCUUAGAUGUGACUGAUGAUGAAAACAAAUGGUAACAGCAAACCAGAUAACCUGACAUAAGUUUAUUCUAGAACUCCACCAUCAAAAAAACAGAUAAAUCAGAUGAGUCAGCUGCUGAAAUGCAGGAAAGCUUUGACACAAAUACAGAAAAAAAUACUAUGCUCAAAUUCACUAAACUUAAGUCAUCUGAAAGACAUACUUAAUAUGCACAGUGGUCUUUUAUUGAGCUACGGCUAGGCAGUGUGGUUACUUGCACGAAGAUGCUACGCUGCAUGCUGGGACCUGUGGUCUGUCUGAUUCCUGCUUCUCCUUGAAAACUUCCCUCUGAAAACUACAUUGUAUAUGUAUGUUGGCUUCAGUUAGCUCAGCUGUCAACUUUGUACACUGCAAAAUGCAUGUACUAAGUAUACAUGGAAGUAAAGGGGAAAACUGAUUGUUGGGGAUGUUAAAAAAUAUUAAUUCUUGCCUAAAUUUAAGAGAAUUUCUCAAAAGAAUUUAGGGAUUGUAAACUGUACAUGGAUAUAUGUUGUGAGGUAAACAGCUAUUGCUCCGGGUCUCUUGGCUCUUUGGUACUCUUACAAAAAAGCUUGAGAUUUACAUUAAACAAUGCAAUGAGCUAUAGCCCUCUAUAAUAGCUAUAAAAUUGGUUCAGUUUUGUCCUUCUGCUUCCUUGGGGAUGCCUUUCCAUUUGCUUCAACAAGGGAAGUAUGAGCAGGUGUGUUCAGUCUCAGAACAGAGAGUAGCAGAACAGUGAAGAAUGAUUUGUAUUAUAUUUUGGGUGGAAAAGGAAGCACUCAGAGGCAAUAGCUACUUCACUUGUUUCUAAUCAAUGUGCAUUUCAAAAGUAAAGAAAUGUUUCUAUAAUUAAAAAAACACCUAAGGAGAAGUUAAUGAUUUUUCUGAUAUAUUUUGAAAAAGGGCAUAACUUUGUGUAUCUGAAUAUCCUUCUGUUAUUAGUCACACUAGCUACAAAAACACACAUUGGAGAUGCAGACACAGAAUCAGCUUUGGAAUGACUCAAUGUUACCAUCUAAGAGUAGAGAAAAAACAUUUUUGUACAGACAUUUGCAAUGUGACGGAGGGAUAUUCUGUAAAACUGGCAAAGGCAACAGUGAGUCUUUUUACAUCAGAUUUUGUUUUCUUUUGGUCAUCGAUACGAGGAAAAGUUAAUAUCUGCGUAGUUCAUAUCUGUAUUUUUUGCUUUUUGGAUUUAUUUGGGAACACUAACAAACAAAACACAAAACACUUCAAAUAGUGAUUUUCUUCUCUUGUAGACCCACUGUUAUUUUUAGUGUAUACAACUGAAAAAAGCAGAAGCAGAGGGAGUGUGAACAGGCCACAUCCUGUGCCCCUGAAGGAUCUCAGUAGUGCAUAAAGUCACUGUCAGCCCCCUACUAAAGCGGCUGCUGAGGACUACCCUAACAGCAAACACUGAGCAGGUUUAAAAUUGUUCCUGGCCUUUUCCUGCACUAGUUAGGAACUCCGUGCCAAACAUGAGCUUAGCAGCUAAGGAUUGCAUCCUCUAACAAAAAUAUAUCUCAGGCAUGGAGGUGAAAUUCAGGUAUAUGUGAAGGACUUGCACAUGGACCUUCUUCCUCUUACACUAUGUGCUGCUCGCACAGCAGUCACCCCAAACAAAAGUAAUACUGUAGGUGUUUCAGAGGUGGUUCCCCAAGUAGUUGUUAGUGGAGGAUAUAUUUUGGAGCAAAAUACUCAAGAACUUACGCAACAUUAUUGGCAAAUUGUGUAGCUGGCAUCUGGAAAAUACCUUUUUGUAUGCUAAGGUGUUCCAUUCUAAUCAAAAUGAAACUAACCUACAGUGAAAAAUAGCAAAGAGAGACCAAUUUGCACAUACCCUGAUCAAUAGAACAUGGUAAUAGUCUGGUUAGUGUAUUUAAAGAUCCAGUCUUGAAAUGAGUGGCAAAAUGCUCAUUAUAGCUAAUAGAAGAAGAAUUGGACCAUUUUUUUUCCCCAUCUGUUAAA
This is a non-coding RNA of Struthio camelus australis, 2649 nucleotides long. Lineage: Eukaryota; Metazoa; Chordata; Aves; Struthioniformes; Struthionidae. The record is from RefSeq and is a predicted model, not a curated record.